Pipistrellus kuhlii (Kuhl's pipistrelle) is the source of this 2121-nucleotide long non-coding RNA. RefSeq lists it as uncharacterized. Lineage: Eukaryota; Metazoa; Chordata; Mammalia; Chiroptera; Vespertilionidae. The record is from RefSeq and is a predicted model, not a curated record. The transcript is spliced from 2 exons.
GGGGCAGACAUGCCCAGGAGAAAGCUGAGGGUGCGCCACAGUCUCCUCUCACCUGUUCACGCUUAACUUGAAAACCGCUGUGAGCAGCAGGAUGCGUCAGCCCAGAGAGGUGCUGAACAGGCGCAGGCUCCUCCGCUUAGGCCUCCACUGAGGGGCGUUGGCUGUGCGCACCAGGCACUGGAAGACCUUGGAAAUGUCAGAAACACUAAGCGAGAACCAGCCUUCGCUCUACAAGGAGUUGUUUGGCAUUUGCCUUGAAUUCCGCUACAUUUACAGAUAGCACUGAGGACAGUUGUGAACUACGCUGUCUCCAUCGUUCGCACAAAGGUUGCAGUUCAGAUCCGGAGGAAAUGUGUGUAAUAAAACACUUUGACAAAACGUUCCCUUCUCUUUGUAUGGGAUAGCAGAAAAACACAGCCUUUUGUUGCUUAUGACAACAUACAGGCUGUGGCAAAAGUAGGUUUAUAGGUGUUCGUAUGAAAAAGCCAGAGUCUCCAGUAACAUUCAGCCCCGGGCCCUCGAACUGAGAAGGCUCUUGAUAGGUGUGUGAAGGGGAGGCUGGAGGUGGCCUGUUAGAUCCUGUACAUUCCACAGAUAAGGCCGGCCCCGACCGGCUCCGGAGAGAACCUGAGCCCGCCCGCCCUGCCUCCCUGUUCACUGGGGGUUUGCGCAACCCCAGAUAGGGGUGCUGGCAGCGAGUACGGAGCCGGAAGCUGAGUGAGGUCAGCCAUGUAGGUGUUCCAUGCCCUUGACACUGACCCCGAUAAAACCUGCACAGGAAGUCUUAGGGGAGUUUCUCUGGUCCACAAGUGUCCACGUGUGCUGCCCACGCGCUCCCAGGACAGCUGGCAGCUGGCGUCAUGUCUCCUGGCUCUCCCCUCGGUGCCUGCCACAUUGGCGGGUUUUAAACUGUUUUUUGCAAUAAUAAAUUGUGACCAUUUUUCUGAGUCCUGUGUGUCACUGAAUCCCAACACAACAUGGUUAAAUGGUUAUGUUUAAAAGUGCAGUAGAGACCCAUAGGUGUCCUUCGAAGCCUAAUGAUUGGCCAUCUGGCUAAACUACAGAAAAAGUUGACCAACUAACACAGAAAUGUAGCAGAUAAAGCCCCUUUUUAAUGUCAUACAUUGAAAUCGUAACAGUUAAAAUGGAUGAGUAUCCAUAUAAAUAAAUCUCAAACUGUUUUAAAUGAAAAAAGUAACACAAGGAUAAUACUGCUUCUGUGCAUUUGUGAAACAAAGAUCCCAUCAAGAGGAUAUCCCCAAACCUCAGGAGAGUGGUGAGUUGGGUUGGAGGUGUUGGGGGGUGGGGCGUGGAACGGGUGGUAAGACUAUUUGUCCCAUUGUCAUUCUUAAAAAGUUUUGAGUGGGGGGAGGAAAUCAGACUUGUAAAGUAAAUAACAUUGGUUUUAUUUUACUAAUGUCUUUCAUUUACUUCCUUAAAUCAGCCAGCUCAGAAUUAUAAAUGAUUGUGCUAAAGGCCUCACUGCUUCAAACUGCUCAUGUUCUGAGUUCAGAAACUGGCCUUGGUCGGUGACCUGCCCAGGGUCGUGCUGGGCCUGUGGGUGAGAGGCCCCGUUGUAGACAGUGUCAGUGCUGGCCGAUCCGCCCUCCCCCGCCCGCUGUGCAAACUCAGAAGCUGAUUCUGGAAACAACUAAUGGCUGUGCUUAGGACCUGUCCAGUUAUCUCAGUUUUGUGAAUCUGCAAAUUGAAGGCCAUCGAGAGAGUGGGGAGUCGGAAAGGAAGGGAAGCUUUCCGAGAACAGAAAAGCAUUGCUUCUCCGCGGUUAGUGGCCGCCUGCGUGCCGCUCGUUCGCUGCAGGUGUGCACGGGAAGCAAUACGCUGAGCUUGUCUUCGGGAAAAUCCUCUGCUCUUCGUAGCAGUUAUAGAGGCCAUCCAGGUUUAGUGUCCACUCUCAUCUGGAAAUGUUAAAGGUGUGAAAUAUAAGUAGUGUUAGGGUCUUAAGUGAUUAAAGUGUGGGGUUUUUUUUUAAAUGAUUUGUAAACCAUUAGGGUAGAAGUACUAGACCUACACUGAAUUCAUAAUUCUGGUAUAAAAUUUAACGACACGUUUUCUAUCUACAUUCCGGAGUCACUGGGAGAGUGAAAUGAGAUAAUAAACUUU